GUAUCACCAGCCGCCCUGUCCCUUGUUUUGUGGCCAACCUCAGGAGGAUGGCCAAAGUAAGCAAAACCAGAUGUCAACUUCAUACCACAUUUAUCAGAGCCGAGAGACUAAUUUCCUGGUACAAAAAUACUACUUCAUCAGAAAGAUUAAAACGUCCGUCUGUCGGAUUACAGCAUUAAGCAAGGUUCAUGCCCAUUGAAGAGUUCCUUUGAAGCCACUUGGAGAAAAAGGCUUUAUUUUUUUUCAAAGGUGAAGACUUUAGAAAUGACUAAUGAAAGUAAUAUAAUGCAUAUUUUCUAUUUGGAAAUGAAGUUUGGGCUGUGUUGCAUGUAUAUGACUGUGGGGACUACACUGUACGCUGGAUUCUGGCACAGAGGAUGUAAUAAAAGAAACCGGCCUCUCCUGAACUCA
Suricata suricatta (meerkat) is the source of this 411-nucleotide long non-coding RNA. RefSeq lists it as uncharacterized. The transcript is spliced from 2 exons. The record is from RefSeq and is a predicted model, not a curated record. Lineage: Eukaryota; Metazoa; Chordata; Mammalia; Carnivora; Herpestidae.